This is a small nucleolar RNA of Oryctolagus cuniculus (rabbit), 136 nucleotides long. NCBI's taxonomy places the organism in Eukaryota, Metazoa, Chordata, Mammalia, Lagomorpha, Leporidae. The record is from Ensembl.
GUAUUAAAUAAUAAGACCUUUUCCCUGAUGUUCUGUGCUGGUGUGGGGAAGGAUGGUACCACAGUGUGAGCAAAGGAAAUCCGGAUGGGUUGUUUUCCGUUCAUCUUGAAGCCUGUCUCUACAUCUAUCUACAUUU